AUUGAACGCUGGCGGCAUGCUUUACACAUGCAAGUCGAGCGGUAACAGGUUAAGCUGACGAGUGGCGAACGGGUGAGUAAUGCAUCGGAACGUGCCCGGUCGUGGGGGAUAACGCAGCGAAAGCUGCGCUAAUACCGCAUACGAUCUGAGGAUGAAAGCGGGGGACCGUAAGGCCUCGCGCGAUCGGAGCGGCCGAUGUCAGAUUAGGUAGUUGGUGAGGUAAAGGCUCACCAAGCCAACGAUCUGGAGCUGGUCUGAGAGGACGACCAGCCACACUGGGACUGAGACACGGCCCAGACUCCUACGGGAGGAAGCAGUGGGGAAUUUUGGACAAUGGGCGAAAGCCUGAUCCAGCAAUGCCGCGUGCAGGAAGAAGGCCUUCGGGUUGUAAACUGCUUUUGUACGGAGCGAAAAGGCUCUCUCUAAUACAGGGGGCUCAUGACGGUACCGUAAGAAUAAGCACCGGCUAACUACGUGCCAGCAGCCGCCGUAA
RNAcentral lists this ribosomal RNA (493 nucleotides) under uncultured bacterium. Its description in RNAcentral is "partial 16S ribosomal RNA". It matches the Rfam family "Bacterial small subunit ribosomal RNA", at positions 29 to 523 of the family's 1533-position model. The record is from RNAcentral.